RNAcentral lists this long non-coding RNA (207 nucleotides) under Mytilus galloprovincialis (Mediterranean mussel). Lineage: Eukaryota; Metazoa; Mollusca; Bivalvia; Mytilida; Mytilidae. The record is from RNAcentral.
GUUGUCGUUUGUUUGUGUGUUACAUAUUUGUUUUUCGUUCCUUUUUUGUACAUAAAUAAGGCCGCUAGUUUUCUCGUUUGAUUUUUUUUUACAUCGUCAUUUCGGGGCCUUUUAAAGCUGAGUAUGCGGUAUGGGCUUUGCUCGUGACCUAUAGUCGUAAAUUUCUGUGUCAUUUUGGUCUCUUGUGGAGAGUUGUCUCAACAUGGC